UACGUAGGGGGCAAGCGUUGUCCGGAAUUAUUGGGCGUAAAGAGCGUGUAGGCGGCCAGAUAAGUCCGCUGUGAAAUCUCGAGGCUCAACUUCGAGCUGUCGGUGGAAACUAUCUGGCUAGAGUCCGGAAGAGGAGAAUGGAAUUCCUGGUGUAGCGGUGAAAUGCGCAGAUAUCAGGAAGAACACCCGUGGCGAAGGCGGUUCUCUGGGACGGUACUGACGCUGAGACGCGAAAGCGUGGGGAGCAAACGGG
RNAcentral lists this ribosomal RNA (253 nucleotides) under uncultured bacterium. RNAcentral's name for it is "partial 16S ribosomal RNA". It matches the Rfam family "Bacterial small subunit ribosomal RNA", at positions 524 to 776 of the family's 1533-position model. The record is from RNAcentral.